RNAcentral lists this unclassified non-coding RNA (263 nucleotides) under plant metagenome. RNAcentral's name for it is "partial contains small subunit ribosomal RNA, internal transcribed spacer 1, and 5.8S ribosomal RNA". The record is from RNAcentral.
UUUCCGUAGGUGAACCUGCGGAAGGAUCAUUAUUGUAUAACCGAGGUGCGAGGGCUGUCGCUGACCCGAAAGGUCGUGCACGCCCGAGUGCCCUCACACACAUCCAUCUCACCCCUAUGUGCACCACCGCGUGGGUUCCCCUUUGGCUUGUUCGGAGGGGGGCUUACGUUUUCACACAAACUUUGUAUGCAGUGUAGAAUGUAUUUUUUGUUUUUGCGAUCACGCAACCAAUACAACUUUCAACAACGGAUCUCUUGGCUCUC